This 1087-nucleotide long non-coding RNA is filed under the name Penaeus japonicus. RNAcentral describes it as "uncharacterized LOC122252724". The record is from RNAcentral. Lineage: Eukaryota; Metazoa; Arthropoda; Malacostraca; Decapoda; Penaeidae.
GUCUGGUGGAGAGAGUGGUGGUGGAGAGUCCUUGCCGAAGCCGGGCUUCAAAAGCAAUUUUUUGGGGCAAUAAGUGCAUGAGUGUUGUUUUAAUUGCAAUUUCUGUAAUGUCUGCGCGACGCCUUUGAAAAUAAUAAUAAAAAAAGAGAGAGUUUAAAGAGAGAGAGAGAGAGAGAGAGGGGAGAAGUAAUUGCGGAAGUUCUGAGAAAUAAAAAGUUUGCAUCCCAGCGUUGAGUGAAGCUGCCACUUGACUGAGCUUUCAGACCCCAGUGUCGGCUAGCCAGACAGACAGACAGACGGCAAGCUAGCCAAGGAGCUAUCUAUCUACCAAGCAACCAAGUUAUUCGGCUACUCCUCAUUCCAUCUGUACGUUAGCGAGUGAGUCCUUCUAGCGGUCAGUUCACGCAGGAGUCAGCCAAUCAGUCAAUCAGUCAGUCAGUCAGUGCCCCAGAAAACAUUCCUUAGUUCCAGUUCUUUCGGCCUCGUGAAAGGGCGGAAAGCUCGCUCCCAAAAAGGUGUCUUUGCGCCGUGCUGUUCCCAGACUCCGAAUCGCUCCCGAGUGCCCGCCAGCCUCCCAUAGUCGGAUCAGCCGAGCCCUUCUGCUUGGAACCGGGAGCUCGGUGAGCCGUCGACCCCAUCGCCCAGCCAGCGUGAGCAGGAGCAGCGGCAGCGCCAGCAGGAGCGGCAGCAGCAGGUGGUGAGGUGGGUGAGCGGGGGAUGGUCGCGGCCGUGGCCAGAUAGCCGCUCGGUUGCCGCAGCCACCGUGGCCGUGGCCGGGUGCGGGGCGGCCGAUGGCUUCUCUACCUACGUGCUUGUGUACCUGGUAGGCCGCUCUCUCCUCACGCCCCUCGCCACCCUCCUCAGUGCCGCCUCUCAACAAGCCUCCACCAUGAUCAGCACGUUGGUGACCUCGCCGGGGGAGCGGAGUCGAGCCGGGUCAGAGAAGACGGCCCGAGCCCUAUGCCGGGUGGGUCAGGCCGUGAACGUAGCGGUUGACCGCUUCGUGACCGUCGGCGAGACGAUAGCGGACGAUAACCCGGAGAUCAAGGUGGAAAUGUACGAGGCAUGCAAGGAGGCCAGGGCGGCA